This is a long non-coding RNA of Triticum urartu, 170 nucleotides long. RefSeq lists it as uncharacterized. The record is from RefSeq and is a predicted model, not a curated record. NCBI's taxonomy places the organism in Eukaryota, Viridiplantae, Streptophyta, Magnoliopsida, Poales, Poaceae.
CCUUCGCUGGGUAAUUCACAAACAUGGAUCAGUACGUGUUCUUCUACUGGUAAGGAUUGGAAAAUUGGGGAGAGAUGGAUUCGGAGUACCAGAACUCGAGUGUGAGGAGGUCAAUGGCUGACAUGUCGCGAGCCGGCAGUGAUAAAAUUGCUUCUUACCCGUGGUUCAAA